GGGCCCGUAGCUCAGCUAGGUAGAGCGCCCGGCUCAUAAGAUAAUCUGAGAAACCGGGUGGUCCAGGGUUCAAAUCCCUGCGGGCCCA
This is a transfer RNA of Candidatus Acidianus copahuensis, 88 nucleotides long. It matches the Rfam family "tRNA". From Rfam's summary of the family: Transfer RNA (tRNA) molecules are approximately 80 nucleotides in length. Their secondary structure includes four short double-helical elements and three loops (D, anti-codon, and T loops). Lineage: Archaea; Thermoproteati; Thermoproteota; Thermoprotei; Sulfolobales; Sulfolobaceae. The record is from Rfam.